GAUGAACGCUGGCGGCGUGCCUAAUACAUGCAAGUCGAGCGAACAGACGAGGAGCUUGCUCCUCUGACGUUAGCGGCGGACGGGUGAGUAACACGUGGAUAACCUACCUAUAAGACUGGGAUAACUUCGGGAAACCGGAGCUAAUACCGGAUAAUAUAUUGAACCGCAUGGUUCAAUAGUGAAAGACGGUUUUGCUGUCACUUAUAGAUGGAUCCGCGCCGCAUUAGCUAGUUGGUAAGGUAACGGCUUACCAAGGCAACGAUGCGUAGCCGACCUGAGAGGGGGAUCGGCCACACUGGAACUGGGACACGCUCCGAACUCCUACGGGAGGCAGCAGUAGGGAAUCUUCCGCAAAGGGCGAAAGCCUGACGGAGCAACGCCGCGUGAGUGAUGAAGGUCUUCGGAUCGUAAAACUCUGUUAUUAGGGAAGAACAAAUGUGUAAGUAACUAUGCACGUCUUGACGGUACCUAAUCAGAAAGCCACGGCUAACUACGUG
This 497-nucleotide ribosomal RNA is filed under the name uncultured bacterium. Its description in RNAcentral is "partial 16S ribosomal RNA". It matches the Rfam family "Bacterial small subunit ribosomal RNA", at positions 28 to 507 of the family's 1533-position model. The record is from RNAcentral.